GCCCCCGUAGCUCAGGUGGAUAGAGCGACUGCCUCCUAAGCAGUAGGCCCCAGGUUCGAGUCCUGGCGGGGGCA
Non-coding RNA from Gemmatimonas sp. SG8_23, 74 nucleotides. The record is from Rfam. NCBI's taxonomy places the organism in Bacteria, Pseudomonadati, Gemmatimonadota, Gemmatimonadia, Gemmatimonadales, Gemmatimonadaceae.